AGGUUGGCUCAGAAGCAGCCAUCCUUUAAAGAGUGCGUAACAGCUCACUAGUCGAGUGACCCUGCGCCGAAAAUGUACCGGGGCUAAGCCUGAUACCGAAACUGCGGAUUGUAGGAAACUAUAGUGGUAGGGGAGCGUUGUAUACGAGCAGAAGCCGUACCGUGAGGAGCGGUGGAUUGUAUAGAAGUGAGAAUGCCGGUGUGAGUAGCGAGAUGUAGGUGAGAAUCCUACACACCGAAAGCCCAAGGAUUCCAGGGGAAGGUUCGUCCGCCCUGGGUAAGUCGGGACCUAACGCGAGGCCGAAAGGCGUAGUGGAUGGAAAGCAGGCGAAAGAUUCCUGCACCCGUAUAUGGAGCGAAGGAGUGACGGAGACGGAUAGUGUGACCCUCUUAAUGGAUUGAGGGCGAAGCGAAGCGGCUGGUUACCAGGCAAAUCCGGUAACCAAAAGGCUAGAGCGUGACAGGUAAGCGAAAUCUUCGGAAAGUAGCGAAGCACAUGAUGACGGCUUCCAGGAAAAGCUUCUGGCAAUGCAUAUGCGGCCCGUACCAAAACCGACACAGGUGGGCAGGGAGAGAAUCCCGAGGUGAGCGAGAGAACUGUUGCCAAGGAACUCGGCAAAAUGACUCCGUAAGUUAGCGAGAAGGAGUGCUUAAGCAAUUAAGCCGCAGUGAAGAGGCCCAAGCGACUGUUUAACUAAAACACAGCUCUCUGCGAAGUCGCAAGACGAAGUAUAGGGGGUGACACCUGCCCGGUGCUGGAAGGUUAAGAGGAUCUGUUAAGAGCGAUCUGAAGCAGUGAUCCGAAGCCCCAGUGAACGGCGGCCGUAACUAUAACGGUCCUAAGGUAGCGAAAUUCCUUGUCAGGUAAGUUCUGACCCGCACGAAAGGUGUAACGAUUUGGGCGCUGUCUCGGCAGCAGACUCGGUGAAAUCUUAGUACCUGUGAAAAUGCAGGUUACCCGCAACUAGACGGAAAGACCCCAUGGAGCUUUACUGCAGCCUGAUAUUGAAUUCUGGUCAUACAUGUACAGGAUAGGUGGGAGACAAAGAGACGUGCACGCCAGUGUACGAGGAGUCGCCGUUGGGAUACCACUCUUGUGUGACCGGGGUUCUAACCUGGUAUCGAGAACAGGUACGGGGAGAGUGUCAGGUGGGCAGUUUGACUGGGGCGGUCGCCUCCCAAAGAGUAACGGAGGCGCCCAAAGGUUCCCUCAGCGCGGCCGGAAAUCGCGCGAAGAGUGUAAAGGCAGAAGGGAGCUUGACUGAGAGCCAAACACGGCGAUCAGGUACGAAAGUAGGGCUUAGUGAUCCGGUGGCAUCCAAGUGGAAGGGCCAUCGCUCAACGGAUAAAAGCUACCCUGGGGAUAACAGGCUAAUCUCUCCCAAGAGUCCAUAUCGACGGGGAGGUUUGGCACCUCGAUGUCGGCUCAUCACAUCCUGGGGCUGAAGUCGGUCCCAAGGGUUGGGCUGUUCGCCCAUUAAAGUGGUACGUGAGCUGGGUUCAGAACGUCGUGAGACAGUUCGGUCCCUAUCCAUCGCGGGCGCAAGAGAUUUGAAGGGGGCUGCUCCUAGUACGAGAGGACCGGAGUGGACGAACCAAUGGUGUACCAAUUAUCUCGCCAGAGGUAUAGUUGGGUAGCUACGUUCGGAAAGGAUAAACGCUGAAAGCAUCUAAGCGUGAAACCAGCCUUAAGAUGAGAUCUCUCAUAGAGUAAUCUAGUAAGACACCUUGGAGAAGACGAGGUUGAUAGGUCGGGAGUGUAAGUACAGUAAUGUAUUCAGCGGACCGAUACUAAUAUGUCGAGGGCUUGACUUA
This 1814-nucleotide ribosomal RNA is filed under the name human gut metagenome. RNAcentral describes it as "bacterial LSU rRNA". It matches the Rfam family "Bacterial large subunit ribosomal RNA", at positions 1098 to 2925 of the family's 2925-position model. The record is from RNAcentral.